Molecule: ribosomal RNA, 444 nt
Filed under: uncultured bacterium
Lineage: Bacteria
Description: bacterial SSU rRNA
Rfam family: Bacterial small subunit ribosomal RNA
Source: RNAcentral
AACGCGAAGAACCUUACCUGGGCUCGAAAUGUAGUGGACCGGGGUAGAAAUAUCCCUUCCCCGCAAGGGGCCGCUAUAUAGGUGCUGCAUGGCUGUCGUCAGCUCGUGUCGUGAGAUGUUGGGUUAAGUCCCGCAACGAGCGCAACCCUUAUCCUAUGUUGCCAGCGCGUAAUGGCGGGGACUCGUAGGAGACUGCCGGGGUCAACUCGGAGGAAGGUGGGGACGAGGUCAAGUCAUCAUGCCCCUUAUGCCCAGGGCUGCACACAUGCUACAAUGGCCGGUACAGAGGGCUGCUAAUCCGCGAGGAGGAGCCAAUCCCAAAAAGCCGGUCUCAGUUCGGAUCGUAGUCUGCAACUCGACUGCGUGAAGCCGGAGUCGCUAGUAAUCCCGGAUCAGCAACGCCGGGGUGAAUACGUUCCCGGGCCUUGUACACACCGACUGUAC